This 22-nucleotide small nuclear RNA is filed under the name Arabidopsis thaliana (thale cress). RNAcentral describes it as "snRNA_15116". Lineage: Eukaryota; Viridiplantae; Streptophyta; Magnoliopsida; Brassicales; Brassicaceae. The record is from RNAcentral.
GCUUCAUUACACGAUUUGAUAG